ACUCUGCUACUCUCUUGGGAACUUCUCCCACUCCGUUGCAUAGCCGCCGCAGCCGCCGCUUUGCUGCUCGACGCUGUACUGCACGAUGUGUACAUUAUACUCACGAUGCAGAUUGCUGCUGCAGAUCCUUCCGACUCUGACGAACACGUCUUGUGGAGAGUGUCUUCGUCCGGUGUAUAGUAUGUAUGCCCGCUUAUGUAUAGAUGGGUCUUUUAGUCGGCUUUAACGAGAGUCCACGAAGAUAAGAGCUCUACAUCGACUUCUGUGACUUCUCCUGCUCCUGUAGCGUCUGUCGUUUCCAUCGCCUUAAGUUUCGAGAGAAGUAAGUUGAGUACAUUCAAUGGAUUUGGUGGUGGUGGUUCUAAAAAUAUAAAUUAAUUUAAUUAUGCUGUACGAUAAGUGAUGAACAGUACGAAAAAUUAUUGAAAACCUUUGAUGACAAUCAAUCAAACAUCAAGAAUUAUUUGGAAGGUAAAAAUACGCUAUAACGUGUAAAAUUGAUUGGCAGUAUAGUAUAGGCAUAAUAAUAUGAAAUAUCCAACAAUGCUUAAAAAAUUUAGUUUAAAUAAAGAAAUCGCUGUAAUAAAGCACGAUUAAAUAAUUCUCAAUCAUCAACAAAUAGGUGAAUUUAUGGUGUACAAAAAAUGUAAUGAGAACAUUAAAAUAUAAUUGUGUUAUAAUAAUAUUUAAAACAUAGAUAAAAUUUGUUACUACCAUAAAAUACAACAUAAAUACAUAAAAAUAUGUUAAAAUUAAAGACAGGGUAUAGGUUGACUUACGGUUAUCCUUUUCAAGAGGUGGCAGUGUGAUAGUCAUUUUGAUAAUGUGAUUGCGAAGAGAGCGCUUUCAAAAAUAUAAUAGAAAUUGAUAAAUUAUCUCUGAGCACAAACACCCUUUUUCAAGCUCCACCUUAUCCGUUGGAUCUCUCGCGCGAGAAUGAGCUUGAGCGCACGUAGCCUGAACAAUUAAGUUGUGCAAUGAUGCCAGUGACGUAAUGAUGAUGAUGUAAUUAGCUCAGAGAAAUGGUAGGGUUGAACGCUCAAUAUGGUAGGAGUAAAUUAAGCGAAAUAGAAUUUCAAAGAUGACCUCUGAACCGAGGUUGCUGACCGCGAGCUUUAAGGCUUAAAUUAUCCACGCAGAGCAAUUAUAGAGCGUAUCGAUAGAAAUAAAAAAGUGAUCUAGUCUUGUACAAAUAAAAAUUUCAAGUGUUUGUUUUGCGCUUCACAUAA
Long non-coding RNA from Nasonia vitripennis (jewel wasp), 1229 nucleotides. RefSeq lists it as uncharacterized. The record is from RefSeq and is a predicted model, not a curated record. The transcript has 2 exons. NCBI's taxonomy places the organism in Eukaryota, Metazoa, Arthropoda, Insecta, Hymenoptera, Pteromalidae.